CCUUCGUAAAAGAAGUACAUUAAAUUACCAUUAAUAUAAAGAAGCCUUAAUGAUAUUUUAUCAAUAUUGCUCUAAAUAUCAAAUAACAAUCAAGCUCGAACUGUUUCCUUCAUUCAUGAAUGUAAAAAACAGUGGUAUUCUCCCAAGCUCUCGAAAGGAAUGAGAUAAUCGAGCCUUUUUCCUCCUCUCGGUUUCCUCAUUAACCAAAUGUCGAAGAAGCAAAACAAAAAUCUAACCUCUCUGCAUUAAAGAAAACAAAAGCCAGAAAUCAAAAGUAAUAAAUCUUAAAUCUUUAGGUUUUUAAGCAAAAACCUUGAAAGAGGAGUCGAUUAACGGCCUUGUUAGGGUCCAUAUUGUUAAGAGAAGCACUGAUAAGGAAAGAUUAGGAGAUGGCUAAAAGGAUGGCAACACAAUAGCAACGCAAUCUGCUGAGGAAAGAAAUACAGAAUGACGAACACAUUCUGUUAAGGAAGGGAAUAAAUAAUGGCAACACAAUUACAUAACUCUUGGCAUUGACAAUGUUGGUCAAUGGCACAAUUUUAGAAAUCAUUCCCAGCUAGGAUCAUUGGAACAAUUUUAGAAAUCAUUCCCAGCUAGGAUCAUUGCAAUUAAAAGCUGAAAUAAUUUCGUUUUAUUGCUAUGUAAUUAACUGCAUAUGAUUUGGAACUCUUGCUGUAUAUAUUAUGUAAGAAAACUCAAUUGAAAUAACACUUCCCUUUACAAAUAAUUCUGGAAAAUUUCUCAUGGUAUCAGAGCCACAAACUCACAAGCCUGAAACCACGUCUUCUUCAUCUUAUGUUUUGAAAAAAGAACCACAGUUGAACAUCUAGCAAUUCCACCAGUGUUCUAGCUUAAUUUCGAUUAAGCUAAACACAUCAAAUUUUCUAUUAUGGCGUUCACAAAUUCUUCCAUUGGUUCGAAGCUUGGGUAUUCUUCAUCAUCUCACCAAUGAAGGAAAACCUGAUGAAGAAAUCGACGAUGAAUCGGGAAAGAAAAGUCCAAACCCACAAUACCACCUGUGGCUCAAUAAUGACGGCAGCUUUACCUCUUGGCUUCUAGGCACUAUGAAGUAGGAUGUAUUAAGUCUUAUUUUUGAGGCUGAAAUAGCAUCUGCUUAUGAGAUUUGGAAAUCUCUUCAAACCCAACUACUUCUC
Molecule: long non-coding RNA, 1154 nt
Filed under: Olea europaea subsp. europaea
Lineage: Eukaryota; Viridiplantae; Streptophyta; Magnoliopsida; Lamiales; Oleaceae
Source: RNAcentral